This 253-nucleotide ribosomal RNA is filed under the name uncultured bacterium. RNAcentral describes it as "partial 16S ribosomal RNA". It matches the Rfam family "Bacterial small subunit ribosomal RNA", at positions 524 to 776 of the family's 1533-position model. The record is from RNAcentral.
UACGUAGGGUGCGAGCGUUGUCCGGAAUUAUUGGGCGUAAAGGGCUCGUAGGCGGUUUGUCGCGUCGGGAGUGAAAACCAUGGGCUUAACUCAUGGCUUGCUUCCGAUACGGGCAGACUAGAGGUAUGCAGGGGAGAACGGAAUUCCUGGUGUAGCGGUGAAAUGCGCAGAUAUCAGGAGGAACACCGGUGGCGAAGGCGGGUCUCUGGGCCGAUAUUGACGCUGAGGAGCGAAAGCGUGGGGAGCGAACAGG